AUGCUGGAACAAGGGGCGAAUCUGCUACAAAGAAUGGCUCUGGACGAGUCUGUCUUGGCACGAGGUAGGGAUGCCCUCCGGCUGGAAGAUGGUGGAGAUAACAGGAUGCUGCUAGGAAUGUGGAUGAUGCAAUGGCGGAGGAUGCUGAAUAGUAGAACAAUGCUUGAUUCAAUGAGAGUAGCAUAUAUUAGAGCACCUACGGCUACGUGUGCCUUUUUGCCGCCAUAUAUGAAGGCGUUGAACAGUAAUGCAUGGGGUUCCUCCCCAUGGCUGUCCCUGUUGGGUUGUGGGCGUUUUCCUUUUGGUAUCUCUUGCAGCUGCAUCCUCUUGCUAGCGUGCAUGCGGCGGUUAGGUCAGCGUAUUGAGAAUUGCCUCGCUAAAUAUAUUGAUGUACAACGUCUUGCUAAUAGCACGUUAUAG
This 420-nucleotide ribosomal RNA is filed under the name Triticum aestivum (bread wheat). RNAcentral's name for it is "partial small subunit ribosomal RNA". Lineage: Eukaryota; Viridiplantae; Streptophyta; Magnoliopsida; Poales; Poaceae. The record is from RNAcentral.